This is a non-coding RNA of Myotis brandtii (Brandt's bat), 75 nucleotides long. Lineage: Eukaryota; Metazoa; Chordata; Mammalia; Chiroptera; Vespertilionidae. The record is from Rfam.
UGCAGUUCUCAGGUGAUGCAUCAUGGAUUCGGGCUCCCUCCUCUCUGGUUCCAGGUGUGUCACCUGAGAACUGCA